This 119-nucleotide ribosomal RNA is filed under the name Pteropus alecto (black flying fox). The record is from RNAcentral. Lineage: Eukaryota; Metazoa; Chordata; Mammalia; Chiroptera; Pteropodidae.
GUCUACAGUCAUGCCACCAUGAAUGUGCCUGAUGUCAUCUGAUCUCAGAAACUAAGCAGGGUCAGGCCUGGUUAGUCCUUGGAUGGGAGACCACCUUGGACUAAUGCAUGCUGUAGGCA